GGGGGAUAACUAGUCGAAAGAUUAGCUAAUACCGCAUACGACCUGAGGGUGAAAGUGGGGGACCGCAAGGCCUCAUGCUAUAGGAGCGGCCGAUGUCUGAUUAGCUAGUUGGUGAGGUAAAGGCUCACCAAGGCGACGAUCAGUAGCUGGUCUGAGAGGACGAUCAGCCACACUGGGACUGAGACACGGCCCAGACUCCUACGGGAGGCAGCAGUGGGGAAUUUUGGACAAUGGGCGAAAGCCUGAUCCAGCAAUGCCGCGUGUGUGAAGAAGGCCUUCGGGUUGUAAAGCACUUUUGUCCGGAAAGAAAUGGCUCUGGUUAAUACCUGGGGUCGAUGACGGUACCGGAAGAAUAAGGACCGGCUAACUACGUGCCAGCAGCCGCGGUAAUACGUAGGGUCCAAGCGUUAAUCGGAAUUACUGGGCGUAAAGCGUGCGCAGGCGGUUGUGCAAGACCGAUGUGAAAUCCCCGAGCUUAACUUGGGAAUUGCAUUGGUGACUGCACGGCUAGAGUGUGUCAGAGGGGGGUAGAAUUCCACGUGUAGCAGUGAAAUGCGUAGAGAUGUGGAGGAAUACCGAUGGCGAAG
RNAcentral lists this ribosomal RNA (587 nucleotides) under uncultured Ralstonia sp. RNAcentral describes it as "bacterial SSU rRNA". It matches the Rfam family "Bacterial small subunit ribosomal RNA", at positions 138 to 720 of the family's 1533-position model. Lineage: Bacteria; Pseudomonadati; Pseudomonadota; Betaproteobacteria; Burkholderiales; Burkholderiaceae. The record is from RNAcentral.